CAUUCUUAAAACUGAAAAACAUAUCAAUUUCCUAAAAAAUCUAAAACAAAGAAAAAAUCUGAAAUGCCUACAACUUUCCCCUUUCCUUCAUCUCUGUUUUGCCUUCCGGUAAAUCUCUUCGCAGAAAGAGAACCAGUGCUCCUUUGUAUCACAUACUCGUUUUCGUUCCCCAGGUUCCUUAUUGACUGAGCUCAUCGGAGAUUCAAAUCAAGUCACCUCUUUCUCCGGACUCAGAAAUUCCGAUACAACUACCUCUGUCCCCUCAGCCAAUUCUCAUUUGAUCCCUCUGAGUGACUGGUUCGACCGCUGUCGAGGUUUCUUCCACCUAGAAAGUCGACGAUUCACUUCUUCUUCCCCAUGCUGCCAUCGCAUGUGCCGCUUCAUUUGCUCCCCGAGCUUUUUAACGAUCGUUAGUGAAUCUCCUUCAAUAAUGGCGUCUUCAAACCCCAAGUCUUCUGCGAAAGUAACUCCGUGAAGGCAGGCAUAUGCUUCUGCAGUUGUCGGGUCUCGUACAUUCCUCAUCGGAAUGAUACUGCUAAGCAUGUGCGUUGCUCUGUAUUAUUAAAAUUGAAAGUCUCGAUAAACCAAAGUUUCCACUCUGUGUUUUCAUGUGUGGGUGCGAUCCGAAGUUCCAACAGCUUCGCAACAUUACAGUGUCGGAAGACACGUGCAGUUGAUUCGUCAUCUUCACCGCAAAGUGGAUAUAACGCUUCAAAUCUCAGCCUUUAGAAAUUUUAGAUUACUUAGAGUAGGCAGAAAGUUGUUUGUAAUCCUCUAUAGGUUAAUCUUAAUCUUGCUGGGAACUUUUAAGCCCCAAAUUGCUGUAUAAUAAUUUUUCAUCUGUUCUGUCAAAAUUGUAUUUUCAUUUCCCAGCUAGUGUGCUUCUUCUGUAAUACUCCAUACUUAUCCACUUUUUGCCAUGUAUUCGCCUGAUUUGUUCACCCUGCCAGACCAUAGUAUCUGGCUGCAAUGUAUUCCCGAGGGGUAAUAGUUCUAA
Long non-coding RNA from Gossypium arboreum, 997 nucleotides. RefSeq lists it as uncharacterized. Lineage: Eukaryota; Viridiplantae; Streptophyta; Magnoliopsida; Malvales; Malvaceae. The transcript is spliced from 3 exons. The record is from RefSeq and is a predicted model, not a curated record.